RNAcentral lists this ribosomal RNA (549 nucleotides) under uncultured bacterium. RNAcentral describes it as "bacterial SSU rRNA". It matches the Rfam family "Bacterial small subunit ribosomal RNA", at positions 355 to 895 of the family's 1533-position model. The record is from RNAcentral.
UAGGGAAUCUUCGGCAAUGGACGGAAGUCUGACCGAGCAACGCCGCGUGAGUGAAGAAGGUUUUCGGAUCGUAAAGCUCUGUUGUAAGAGAAGAACGAGUGUGAGAGUGGAAAGUUCACACUGUGACGGUAUCUUACCAGAAAGGGACGGCUAACUACGUGCCAGCAGCCGCGGUAAUACGUAGGUCCCGAGCGUUGUCCGGAUUUAUUGGGCGUAAAGCGAGCGCAGGCGGUUAGAUAAGUCUGAAGUUAAAGGCUGUGGCUUAACCAUAGUAGGCUUUGGAAACUGUUUAACUUGAGUGCAAGAGGGGAGAGUGGAAUUCCAUGUGUAGCGGUGAAAUGCGUAGAUAUAUGGAGGAACACCGGCGGCGAAAGCGGCUCUCUGGCUUGUAACUGACGCUGAGGCUCGAAGGCGUGGGGAGCAAACAGGAUUAGAUACCCUGGUAGUCCACGCUGUAAACGAUGAGUGCUAGGUGUUAGACCCUUUCCGGGGUUUAGUGCCGUAGCUAACGCAUUAAGCACUCCGCCUGGGGAGUACGACCGCAAGGUU